RNAcentral lists this ribosomal RNA (1573 nucleotides) under Mycobacterium tuberculosis. RNAcentral's name for it is "bacterial LSU rRNA". It matches the Rfam family "Bacterial large subunit ribosomal RNA", at positions 1408 to 2925 of the family's 2925-position model. Lineage: Bacteria; Bacillati; Actinomycetota; Actinomycetes; Mycobacteriales; Mycobacteriaceae. The record is from RNAcentral.
GUACUAACCACCCAAAACCGGAUCGAUCACUCCCCUUCGGGGGUGUGGAGUUCUGGGGCUGCGUGGGAACUUCGCUGGUAGUAGUCAAGCGAAGGGGUGACGCAGAAAGGUAGCCGUACCAGUCAGUGGUAACACUGGGGCAAGCCGGUAGGGAGAGCGAUAGGCAAAUCCGUCGCUCACUAAUCCUGAGAGGUGACGCAUAGCCGGUUGAGGCGAAUUCGGUGAUCCUCUGCUGCCAAGAAAAGCCUCUAGCGAGCACACACACGGCCCGUACCCCAAACCGACACAGGUGGUCAGGUAGAGCAUACCAAGGCGUACGAGAUAACUAUGGUUAAGGAACUCGGCAAAAUGCCCCCGUAACUUCGGGAGAAGGGGGACCGGAAUAUCGUGAACACCCUUGCGGUGGGAGCGGGAUCCGGUCGCAGAAACCAGUGAGGAGCGACUGUUUACUAAAAACACAGGUCCGUGCGAAGUCGCAAGACGAUGUAUACGGACUGACGCCUGCCCGGUGCUGGAAGGUUAAGAGGACCCGUUAACCCGCAAGGGUGAAGCGGAGAAUUUAAGCCCCAGUAAACGGCGGUGGUAACUAUAACCAUCCUAAGGUAGCGAAAUUCCUUGUCGGGUAAGUUCCGACCUGCACGAAUGGCGUAACGACUUCUCAACUGUCUCAACCAUAGACUCGGCGAAAUUGCACUACGAGUAAAGAUGCUCGUUACGCGCGGCAGGACGAAAAGACCCCGGGACCUUCACUACAACUUGGUAUUGAUGUUCGGUACGGUUUGUGUAGGAUAGGUGGGAGACUGUGAAACCUCGACGCCAGUUGGGGCGGAGUCGUUGUUGAAAUACCACUCUGAUCGUAUUGGGCAUCUAACCUCGAACCCUGAAUCGGGUUUAGGGACAGUGCCUGGCGGGUAGUUUAACUGGGGCGGUUGCCUCCUAAAAUGUAACGGAGGCGCCCAAAGGUUCCCUCAACCUGGACGGCAAUCAGGUGGCGAGUGUAAAUGCACAAGGGAGCUUGACUGCGAGACUUACAAGUCAAGCAGGGACGAAAGUCGGGAUUAGUGAUCCGGCACCCCCGAGUGGAAGGGGUGUCGCUCAACGGAUAAAAGGUACCCCGGGGAUAACAGGCUGAUCUUCCCCAAGAGUCCAUAUCGACGGGAUGGUUUGGCACCUCGAUGUCGGCUCGUCGCAUCCUGGGGCUGGAGCAGGUCCCAAGGGUUGGGCUGUUCGCCCAUUAAAGCGGCACGCGAGCUGGGUUUAGAACGUCGUGAGACAGUUCGGUCUCUAUCCGCCGCGCGCGUCAGAAACUUGAGGAAACCUGUCCCUAGUACGAGAGGACCGGGACGGACGAACCUCUGGUGCACCAGUUGUCCCGCCAGGGGCACCGCUGGAUAGCCACGUUCGGUCAGGAUAACCGCUGAAAGCAUCUAAGCGGGAAACCUUCUCCAAGAUCAGGUUUCUCACCCACUUGGUGGGAUAAGGCCCCCCGCAGAACACGGGUUCAAUAGGUCAGACCUGGAAGCUCAGUAAUGGGUGUAGGGAACUGGUGCUAACCGGCCGAAAACUUACAACA